RNAcentral lists this ribosomal RNA (494 nucleotides) under uncultured bacterium. Its description in RNAcentral is "partial 16S ribosomal RNA". It matches the Rfam family "Bacterial small subunit ribosomal RNA", at positions 28 to 507 of the family's 1533-position model. The record is from RNAcentral.
GACGAACGCUGGCGGCGUGCUUAACACAUGCAAGUCGAACGGUGAAGCGCCUUCCUUUUUGGUUGGUGUGGAUGAGUGGCGAACGGGUGAGUAACACGUGAGUAACCUGCCCCCUCCUUCUGGAUAACCGCAUGAAAGUGUGGCUAAUACGGGAUAUUCUGGGUCUGUCGCAUGAUGGGUCUGGGAAAGAUAUUGUUUCGGUGGGGGAUGGGCUCGCGGCCUAUCAGCUUGUUGGUGGGGUGAUGGCCUACCAAGGCGGUGACGGGUGGCCGGCCUGAGAGGGUGGACGGUCACACUGGCACUGAGACACGGCCAAGACUCCUACGGGAGGCAGCAGUGGGGAAUAUUGCACAAUGGGCGCAAGCCUGAUGCAGCGACGCCGCGUGAGGGAUGGAGGCCUGCGGGUUGUGAACCUCUUUCGCCAGUGAAGCAGGCCUGCCUCGUUUGUGGGUGGGUUGACGGUAGCUGGAUAAGAAGCGCCGGCUAACUACGUG